This 432-nucleotide ribosomal RNA is filed under the name uncultured bacterium. Its description in RNAcentral is "bacterial SSU rRNA". It matches the Rfam family "Bacterial small subunit ribosomal RNA", at positions 29 to 507 of the family's 1533-position model. The record is from RNAcentral.
AACGAACGCUGGCGGCAGGCCUAACACAUGCAAGUCGAGCGCCCCGCAAGGGGAGCGGCGGACGGGUGAGUAACGCGUGGGAACGUGCCCUCUUCUACGGAAUAGCCUCGGGAAACUGGGAGUAAUACCGUAUACGCCCUUAGGGGGAAAGAUUUAUCGGAGGAGGAUCGGCCCGCGUUGGAUUAGGUAGUUGGUGGGGUAAUGGCCUACCAAGCCGACGAUCCAUAGCUGGUUUGAGAGGAUGAUCAGCCACACUGGGACUGAGACACGGCCCAGACUCCUACGGGAGGCAGCAGUGGGGAAUCUUAGACAAUGGGCGCAAGCCUGAUCUAGCCAUGCCGCGUGAGCGAUGAAGGCCUUAGGGUUGUAAAGCUCUUUCAGGGGGGAAGAUAAUGACUGUACCCCCACGAAGAAGCCCCGGCUAACUCCGUG